UUCCGGUUGAUCCUGCCGGACCUGACUGCUAUCGGAGUGGGAUUAAGCCAUGCGAGUCGAACGUCUCUCAACUGCGAGAGGCGUGGCGAACGGCUCAGUAACACGUAGCUAAUCUACCCUGAAGACGUAGAUAACCCCGGGAAACUGGGAUUAAUCCGCGAUGGGCCAAGACACCUGGAACGGGUCUUGGUUGAAAGGGAUGGGCAGGCAUGUUUUGUCCUUCUGCUUCAGGAUGGGGCUGCGGCCGAUCAGGUUGUUGGUGGGGUAAUGGCCCACCAAGCCUAUAACCGGUACGGGCUUUGAGAGAAGUAGCCCGGAGAUGGACACUGAGACAAGGGUCCAGGCCCUACGGGGCGCAGCAGGCGCGAAACCUUCGCAAUGCGCGAAAGCGCGACGAGGCUACUCCGAGUGCCGCCCGCUGAGGGUGGCUUUUCCCAGGCUUACAAAACCUGGGGAAUAAGGGGAGGGCAAGCCUGGUGUCAGCCGCCGCGGUAAUACCAGCUCCUCGAGUGGUCAGGGUGUUUAUUGGGCCUAAAGCAUCCGUAGCCUGCUCUGUAGGUCCCCUGUUAAAUUCAACGGCUUAACCGUUGAGCCGCAGAGGAUACCACAGGGCUAGGAGGCGGGAGAGGCGGACGGUAUUCCGUGGGUAGGGGUAAAAUCCUCUGAUCCACGGAGGACCACCAGUGGCGUAUGCGGUCUGCCAGAACGCGCUCGACGGUGAGGGAUGAAAGCUGGGGGAGCGAACCGGAUUAGAUACCCGGGUAGUCCCAGCUGUAAACGAUGCGAGCUAGGUGAUAGAGUGGCUAAAGGGCCAUUCUAGUGCCGCAGGAAGCCGUUAAGCUCGCCGCCUGGGGAGUACGGUCGCAGACUGAACUUAAAGGAAUUGGCGGGGGAGCACCACAGGGUGAGCCUGCGUCAUGGAAUCAACGCCGG
RNAcentral lists this ribosomal RNA (933 nucleotides) under uncultured archaeon. RNAcentral describes it as "bacterial SSU rRNA". It matches the Rfam family "Archaeal small subunit ribosomal RNA", at positions 1 to 921 of the family's 1478-position model. The record is from RNAcentral.